This 255-nucleotide long non-coding RNA is filed under the name Lathyrus oleraceus (garden pea). RNAcentral's name for it is "Pisum sativum (pea) long non-coding RNA (PSAT_LNC018152)". Lineage: Eukaryota; Viridiplantae; Streptophyta; Magnoliopsida; Fabales; Fabaceae. The record is from RNAcentral.
GAUAUAAUUUUUUUCUUUUUAGCAACCUUUUUCUUUUUCGUCGUGACAGUACUAAUAUUCUCUUGACCCCUCGGAUUUUGAACUCUUUCACUUGGGAAGGAACCUGGUAUUCGAGAACUUGCUAGUUGUUGUGCUAUUUGCCCCAGUUGAACUUCAAGAUUCUUUAGAGAGGCGGUGGCGUUUUUCUGAUUGUUUCUCGUCUCUUCUUCAAAUUUCCUAUUUUGAGCUACCAUGUUUUUAAUAGCAAUCUCCCAA